Molecule: long non-coding RNA, 8527 nt
Filed under: Salvia miltiorrhiza (redroot sage)
Lineage: Eukaryota; Viridiplantae; Streptophyta; Magnoliopsida; Lamiales; Lamiaceae
Description: long non-coding RNA (SMIL_LNC006347)
Source: RNAcentral
CCUUGGAUUGUUGUAGCAAAUGGACAGGUUGCUGAUUUGAUGGUAAGCUGGAGUUGCCAUGUUGAAUUCCACCCAUUUGCUGCUGUUGGAAACCAGAAAGAUUUGUCUGACCACCUGAUUGUUGUUGAUGCAUAUUUGGGAGGUUAUUCUGCUGACCAGUUGACUGCUGUUGAUGCAUGUUUGGAAGGUUAUUUUGUUGAUUGAUUGGCUGAUGCUGUUGCAUGUUGGAGAUGUUGUUCUGCUGAGCCAUGAUCCUUUGCUGUUGCUGUUGCUGUUGCUGAUGCUGCGUGUCGAUCAUGUUAUUCUGUUGGGCAAUCAUCUGAUUCUGUUGCAUGUUUGCAGUACUUGGCUGCUGGGCACUAAGCUGCUGUUGCUGCUGCUGAUUGGACAGCAUUGGGUGCUGAGACAUAGAACUUUGCUGCUGAUGCAUGACAGGAGGUGGUUGUGGUUGCUGCUGCUGUUGCCUGAGGACUGUUUGCGGUUGCUGUUGAAGCAUAGAUUGGGUUGAUUGCUGAAGAGAUGUCUGUUGAUUUUGAAGUGUUGACGAAGCCGAUGCUUGCCUCAAAGAAGAUUGCAUAACAGCUGGCUGAGAGGACUGGAGCUGAUUCGGCUGCAAUAGGUUUUGCUGCUGCUGUUGCUGUUGCUGCAUCUGAGAUGGCAUCAUGGGUUGUGGCACACCUCCCUGCCCAUAUUUUUGCUUCAACAUUUGCUGUUGUAGCUGCUGCUGAUUGUAAAGAUAUUGCUGUGAAUUCUGAGGCUGCUGUUGGGAAUCCUGUGGCCCAACCUGCUGCUGCCUACCUGGAAUCUGUCUCUGAGAGUUUGCAUACAUAUUAGCAGGCACACCUUGCCCCAUUGAAUUCCCUACUGCAUUUGGGGUUACAUUAGACAUGUUUUGCAUGUUAGGAUUCUGGACAGAAACAUUUGGCAUGGUACCCUGGGACAUGCCAACAGAGGGCAUUGCAGGUGUCAAACCAGCAGAAUUCGGCACCCCAGUUGAUGGGAUGUUAUUCUGGAUAUUUUGGGAUAAAAUCUGUUGCCGAUUGGACAUUGGAAUUGGUAAUUGCUGGACCUGAUUUUGCAUUUGGGACUGCAUGCUUUGAGAAGCUGCCGAAGAUGCACAGAAAGAGGACAGAUUUGUCAGGACAAAUAUAUUAACUAUUAAUAGCAAGGAAGCAUGUCAUAUUGAUGAAUAUGAAGUCCACUUAUGGGAAAAAUCAUCAAUCUUCAAGAAAAAAGCUAUAGCAACUCUAUUAAGAAACACUAAAAGAGUUACUCCCUCCGUCCCAUUGGGCUUGUCCCAUUUGGUUUCGGCACGGUUAUUAAGGAGAGUAUUAGUAGUGUUAAGUGUGUAGAUAAAGUAGGAGAGAGAAAGAGAGAGAAGGUGAUAAAGUAGGAGAGAGAAAGUGAUAAAGUGAAAGUAGGAGUGUUAUUUAUAGAAAUGGGACAAGAUGGUGGGACAAACAAAAAAGGAAUACGGGACAAGAUCAAUGGGACGGAGGGAGUAUAUUACAUGUCAAUUCAGAGUAUAGGCAUCCUCAAGAAGCAAGUGUAUCAGGAAAAACUGAAAAUGGCCAUCCUACUACUAUUAGAACAGGAAGUGAACCUAAUAGAGUAGAUCUACAGUGGAAUGUAGUUCAAGAAGGACAGAACUCAACUGUCUAACAAUAUUAGCCUGGUUAAGUGCGUUAGUAAUUAUGAUUAAUGUAAUUAAGCAAUCUACACCAUGCUAAAUGCAUCAGUAAUAGACUAAAUUGGCUCCCUUUCAUUAGAAUAAAUUUGAUGUUUCCCACUUAAUCUAUGUUGCAAGUUUGUUCAUCAUGACCUCUGAAGGUGGAAUUUGUUUCAGAGAAAACUGCAGGGUUAUUUACACACUAUUCCUAAUCCUAACAAUCUGUUAAGGAAUGUACCAAGGACUGAAAACUGAAAAGAGUUACUUGGGUCAAGAACAAUCCAGAGAGAAUGUUCAAGGUGAGAUGAUGAACCAUCAAGUCAAGUGUUUGAAACCUUUUAAUAUAAUUACAAGUCAUUUAUUCUACCUUUUCUACUAAUUCGACUUACAAGCAAACAAAUUAACAAGUAUAAAGAACAAUUCGUGCUAAUUUAUUGCUAAUUUGAGCAAAUUAAAUGUUUAGCUAAUAUGGUUCAUAAGCUGGGUGAGUUUCAAUACACACAGUUACUGGCUUACUGCACAAUAUACUAAAUCCAUCAGAGGGGUAACAUAAAGUGAUCAUCAAAAAGUAAAUCAACGGGUGGUACAAUUAGCUCUGCCAGGGAAAAGAGAUAUUUUGAGCAAUGUCUGGAAUCUCCAGAAAUCCCUUUAUAUUUCAUUGAUACUUCCGCCAGGAAAUACUGAUAUUGACUAGUUCACCUUACAAAUUGGGCGAAAAUGUAAAAAGUUAUCAGGGACACUGAAAUAGCAAAAGAGGUUUCUUUACCAGGAUCUUGGGGAUUUUUGCUAUUACUUGCAGCAUUAGACUGAAGAGAAUUAGGCAUAGGAUUCUGGGAUUUAGUCUCCAUCGUCAACAUUUUCAAAGAUAUCUUUCUUAAAUAAUCUGACUGUAAACAAAUGAAAAUGGUCAAAGUUACUAUCAAUUUUAGUACGAGGAGGCCAAGCACUCAAUUACAAUAUCGGCUUUGAAACGACCAAAACCAAACCAUGUGUCAUGUAUACCUGGCUAGUUGCCGCAGUAUAUAUUUUUUCCUCAAAUCUCACGGCUAUUUUCUUGAGUUCUUGCAGUCCCUCUUGUCCAGAGAAAGGAAGAUGCCUCUUCAAUGUCUCCAUUCUAUUAAUUGAGCAUCAUAGUGUUAGUCUGAAAUUGAUGACAAGAGCUGGGGAUGAAAGCUUUAUGUAGAAAAAAAUUGUACUGAUCUUUGGGUAAGAACGUAAGAUUUCAACUAGAAAAGGCAAACUUCACAAGAAAGUUAACCAGCAUAAGUCCAUAUCAAAUGGUAAUUACUUGACUUUCAGAUGUUCUCAAGCACAGCACUCAAUGCAGUACAACCAGAUAUGGAAUAUCUCGUACCAGAAUUGCAAACAAGACAUCUACUUCCUCAUCUCAUAUGCACUUGAAUAUUUCAUACCCCAUUAACAAAGAUCCAACUACACCUUGCAUUGUAUAUAGGCCCAAUCACCAUUGGAUUCUCCCAAGAGUGAAAGAAAAACUUUACCACUGUAAUUCUUAUUUGACAGGUGAUUAUCCCCCCCCCCCCAUUUGGACGUUCAGCAGGGAAUAUUGCAAGAGAGCACACACCACAGGGACCAGAUGACUAGAUAUACCAGACAUUCUAGCUUCAGCUGCCUACUAAAUCACAUUCAAUUCCUCAAUAUAAUCACCAUAUUAGAUGACAUAAUUCCAUGAUAUGGGAUCAGAGAGAAAUCAAGGUCAGUCCUUAAAAGUAUUGUUCGAUCUAAAACAAAGGGAACUUAAAGAGAAUAAGGACCUUAACAAGUGAGCCCUUUAUGGCUAACUUUUAUUUCUCAAGAAGCAUGACACAUCAACUGAACUUUGUGAAGUUGCAAAACAAUUUAUUAUUUGAAGCACCUAGAAGCAAGUAUUGACGUAUCCAAAAAUUCCAAAAUAUUUCUGUAUUUUGGGGUCACCCAACCAAAAAAAAACAGUUAUUUUCUGAUAUUGGCAUUGAAAUAUAUUUAGCGAAAUUUUGUUAAAACAAACAUAACCAUAUUUUUUCAUCCUUGCCUAGAGGAUCUAAACCACAAAAUCAACUUCAGGAUUCAAAUAUCCAAAAAACUCCCAACAUUUCUGUUUUCAGGUCGCCCAUACCCGAAAAAUAAAUAAAUAAAAUCAAUUUUUUAUCUGAUACUGAUAUAAAAACUGACAUGUUUAGAAAAAUUUGGUUAAACCUAAGUACCAAUAUUCUCAUUCUUACCUAGAGGAGCUAAACCACAAAAUCAACUUUACGGUUCAAAUGGACUAGAGGAGCGAAUGUCCUACACUCUAUGAAGGUUAUAUAACAUAGAGAUUUAUUGAUCUCCUUCAACAUUUGUUGUGACUUCUUCACAUUAACUUAGAAGCAAUGUUUGUUAUUUCCAAACAAGUGGGUAAAUCCAGGUUGAGAUAAAAGGAACGAAUGACCAUUAACAUGGUUUUUACUUCGACUAAUUUAAAAACCUAAUGUUUAGUCAAACAUGUGCCGGGAAUCUAACCUAUGGUCAUGCAGCACUUAACAUAACUUUCUCUCCAUCCAUUUGAAUCUGAAGCCUUAAAGAGUUCCACACGAAAAUCUGAAACCAAGAUAGUAUAUGUACUGGUUCCACACAGCUAAGAAAACAUAAACUCACGAACUCAAAUACUAAAAUAAAGUGAUCUAAUCUGAUAACUCCUUACAAAGAACAUAACCAGAAGGAAAGCCUCAUGUUUAUCUCUUUUGUCCAUCUUAAUAAGUGUCAGAAAUGAAAUGAUAAUAAAAUUCGGAAGCAGGUAAAGAAUCAAGAUAAACCAACAAAAGUGGCAAGCUCAAAAACACCGAGUCAACACAAAAACAAUCCAAAGGGAAACACGGAAACUUACAUCUUGUUCACAAUCCUCUGUCUGGAGUCCUGCUGCAGCUGAGUCCUCCAAUCGCCGCCUUCCAUUCCGCCGGCGGGCACUGCUUCGCCGCCGAUGACCUGACCGGGCAUCUGAACCUGCCCCUGCGCCGUCCGCCAAUUGUUGCUGUCCAUUUCCAGCCGCCUGAAACAACCACAAAUCGCCACACUAAUUCAAACACCGCCAUCAUCUCACCUCUCCGAGCAAAACAAGAGACGAAUUGAAGUAGGUAUUGCAUUAAAUUGAGAUUUUGACUGCAAAUUUGACCUUAGAGGAAUCAGCGUGCGCGGGAGCGAGAUCGGCGAUGAAAUUGGAGGAAAUUGAGUUGUGGCGGAAUGCAAUAAUUGUAAAAUCAAAUCAAAAAAUGGAUGAUUUAUAGAGUGGCGUGGGAGGUGAGUGGGUUUGGGGUUAGGGUAUCUAUGUAGCAACGAAGAGCAGAGGAAGAAGUAUUUCUACAUACAUUAUUGCAAUAAUUGUUAUUUAUUGCUUCUCUUUAUCGAAAGACAAAAAAGGGAAUUUCCAUUUUAAAACCUUGUAAUUUAGUGCUUUUUUUUCUCAUAAAUCAAAAAUAUUAUUUUAUUUAAUUUACUAAAUUCUUAAGCACAUAUCUAGAAUAAUUUCGAUUUCUUUGGGUAACUGAAAAUCUCGUGAAAAUCCUUUUUGCUUUUUUUUUUUAAUAAACUAGAUUAUAGGUAGAUUAUAGAUACGAAUUUGUUGAGAAAAACGAUAAAUAUUUGGUGGGGGACUCAUUUGUAAUUUAGAUCUAGCUUUUGAAUAAUAGUACUCCCUCCCUCCAUCAUUUUUUGACGGAGUUGCUAACGGCACGGAUUUUAAGAAAUUGGUGUAGUAUACUAUAAGUGAAACGAGGUUCCCACCCUAUUAUGAGUGAAAAAUUACUAAAAAUGAAAUGGGUCAAGAAUUGGUAGAUGGACGAAAAUAACAAAAUUGAUCAAGAAUUGGUGAAACGAAGGAAGUAAUAAUGAUUACUUACGUCAAAAUACACUAAUUCUAGGGUAAUUUGAUUUUGUGUGAUAUGAAUUUUAAUAUUGUAAUAAUUUUACCAAAUAUUCAUUUUUUUUCGCUCAAAUUAAAGCCGACAUAAACGUUUAAAAAAACGACAUAGUAUAGUACAGUCUCUAAACAAUGCCGUUUUAAGAGGAUUUACAAAAAGUGAAACCCAAAAAUCGUAGUAUUUCUGUAAAGUCCAAAUAUCUACAAAAUAAAUUUGUCGUAAAUUUGCUAAAACAUUAAAGUUCAUGUGUUUUUUUUACUUAUUUCAAAGUUCACGUGCAAAUCAAACUACCUUCAAAAUUAAUAUAUUUAAACAGCAAUAACCGUAAUAAUAAUAAUAAUUUAAUUUUCUUAUUAGUGUCAACCAUGUUUCAGAAAGGCGAAUUUAGCCGCGCAUAGUUUAGCUAAAUUCUCAAGAGCUUGUUUGGAGUCCGUGUGUUGGACGAGUGCUUUCCCUGAUUGGUUGAUGGACAUUGCUGCUAAUGAUUUGAAGUAAUAUAUCUAUGAUUCUCCUGUUUCAAAACAAUAAUAAUAAUCCAAUUUUGAUAUUCUUUUGUAAUUUAAAUCUAUUAAAUUUUUUUAUACCUGAUUGGACUUGAGGCUUAGAUAUUCAUAAAGUUGAAAUUCAAAAUUGACUUGUGGAUUUUUAAAGCCCACUUAUCUUAUCUAUAUUGUCAUUUAAUGUCGUCGAUUUCAUUGUUGGAUGUUGAUGCAACGAAUUAACAACAAACAAUGAAUUUUAAAAGUGCUCAAUCAAUUUCGAGUUUGAAUGCUAAAUGUAUAUUUAAAUCUCAACUCCACUCUUCAUGUAUAGAAAUAUAUACAACUAAAUUGCAACAAAUAUUUAAGACAUUAAUUGCAAAUAUAUUCAUAUGUUGCCCCAAGUAGCUUGAUUUAAUAAAACGUUCAUUUCCAUGAUUGCAUCAAAUAUCACAAUCUUUAAUCGAAAAUUAAGAGCUUUUUUAUAGAAAAUAACUAAAUUCAUUUUCACAUCCGUCCACCAAAAAUAUCACUUUUCAUUUUUAAAACAUAACCACACAUCUUUUUCUUAUCAUUUAUCCUUACAAAUACUUCUUAAUUCCAAAAAAAUUACCAAAUAUUUUAUUAAAACUCGUGCUCAGCCAAAAUGACAUACUUACAGUAGACGGAGGGAGUAUAACAUUCUCGGAUAACCAAAUAAGAGAAUUUCUUAAAUAUAAAUAUAUAAGGUCGGGAUCAAGUGAGAAUUACAUAUGCACAAGCACCUAAAAUCCAUGAAUCCAAAAUAAACAAAUCAAUAUGAAUUUUAGGUGUUUAUGCAUAUAUUCUCAAUUCUAUAAAAAUGCAAUUCUCACUUGACCCUUCCCCAAAAAAGACAUAUAUACCAAUAAAUUUGGAAUACUAAAAGAAAUGCAACUGAUAUAAACAAACCACUGAACAAAAACACGCAGAAGCUAAGUGUUUAAUCAUAGAGUUGCAGUGAUUGACACAAUUUUCCAACAUGAUUAACUAAAAAAGCAUAAGAAUUUUCCCAAAGUAGCUGCAUACUAGAUACCAAACUACUAUUGUUCUUGAAAUAUUAAAGUGCAGUUCAUCUCACCAGCUCAAUAAACCCAGCACAGUGGAGCAUCAUCUGCAAUAUAAGAAGCUAAGCUUAUUGAAUAAUCACCAAAAAAAUGUCGAGACAAGAACAAAAAGAGCCUAAGGAAACUCGACUUACCAACAUGAACAGGAGCAUUACGCAAAUGAUUAGGACAUAAGUACUCGUCGGCAUCAUUUUUUGUCCAGGCAACCGUUCAAAUAGCUUGUCCUGCUGGAUUAACGGCUGUUUUAGCAUAUUUUGCUGCUUCGAAGUUUGCUGCUGCUGGAUUGGCAGCUGCUUCGAUGUUUGCUGCUGCUGCUGGAUUGACGGCUGCUUCGAAGUUUGCUGCUGCAGCUGGAUUACGGGCUUUUGCAGCAUCGGUUGUUGUUGUUGCUGCUGCUGGAUUAAGGGCUUUUGCAGCAUCAGUUUCUGCUGCUGUUGCAGCAUCACUUGCUGCUGCUGCCAGAUUAAGUGCAUAUACACCUGUUGCUGCUGCUGCUGCAACUGGUGGUUUAAGGACUGCUGGAUUAAGGACUGUGGCUGCGGCGGCAGCUGAAUUAAGGGCUGCAUAUAUUGUUGCUGCUGCUGCUGCUGCAGUCUUAGCAUAUAUUGUUGCUGCAACACUUGCCGCUGCUCUAGCAUCUGUGAUUGAAGUACAAUCCAACAACAAAUCUUGAGAAGGAAAUCAUAAAGGGUGAAGCAUAAAAGCAGAAGGCUAAAGGAGGAAAUCACCAGGGAAAAUAGAUAACCUGCAAUUGAAGGCCUAAAAAAAGUUUAGAUGGGGAAUAUAAGAUGUAUUUAACAAUACCUUUCGAUACUCCUUUGGCCAGUCAACAGGAGUUGCACUCCCCAUGGUGACGAGGAAUCUAAAUAGGGCACAAUUAUCAUGGGUUAGCUAGCUGAACAAAUAAGAAUAACAAAUCUUACAUAUAAAUGAUAGCACUGGCACCAGCACAUGUAUUCGACUGUUGUUGCAAACCCAAUUGAUUUUCCAGCUGCCCUGGCUGUGACUGGAUCUGAGACUUCAACUGCUGUUGCAUUGGCUGUGACUGGGAUGGUUGUGCUUGGUUAGAAAACAUCAUUGCCAAUUUCUGCUGCAUUAGCUGCUGAGCUACAACCUUAGAUUGCUGUUGCUUAUGGACAGCUUGCGGAUUUGUUUGUAAGUUGGAGUUACCAUGUUGAAUUCCACCCAUUUGUUGCUGUAGGACACCAGAAAGAUUCGUCUGACCACCCGAUUGUUGUUGAUGCAUAUUUGGGAGGUUAUUCUGCUGAACAGUUGACUGUUGUUGAUGCAUGGUACCCUGGGACAUGCCACCAAUAGGUGGCAUCGCUGGUGUCAAACCAGCAGAAUUCGGCACUCCAGUUGAUGGGAUGUUAUUCGGGAUAUUUUGGGAUAAAAUCUGUUGCC